RNAcentral lists this microRNA (23 nucleotides) under Mus musculus (house mouse). RNAcentral's name for it is "mmu-miR-7673-3p". The record is from miRBase by way of RNAcentral. Lineage: Eukaryota; Metazoa; Chordata; Mammalia; Rodentia; Muridae.
UUCCUUACCUCACCGUCAAAGGA